This 22-nucleotide microRNA is filed under the name human gammaherpesvirus 4 (Epstein-Barr virus). Its description in RNAcentral is "ebv-miR-BART20-3p". Its record names the gene ebv-miR-BART20-3p. The record is from miRBase by way of RNAcentral. Lineage: Duplodnaviria; Heunggongvirae; Peploviricota; Herviviricetes; Herpesvirales; Orthoherpesviridae.
CAUGAAGGCACAGCCUGUUACC